GAGUAGAGCGGCGGACGGGUGAGUAAUGCUUGGGAAUCUACCUAGUAGUGGGGGAUAACGUGUGGAAACGCACGCUAAUACCGCAUACGUCCUACGGGAGAAAGCAGGGGAUCUUCGGACCUUGCGCUAUUAGAUGAGCCCAAGUCGGAUUAGCUAGUUGGUGGGGUAAUGGCUCACCAAGGCUACGAUCCGUAGCUGGUCUGAGAGGAUGAUCAGCCACACUGGGACUGAGACACGGCCCAGACUCCUACGGGAGGCAGCAGUGGGGAAUAUUGCACAAUGGGCGAAAGCCUGAUGCAGCCAUGCCGCGUGUGUGAAGAAGGCUCUAGGGUUGUAAAGCACUUUCAGUAGGGAGGAACAGCUUAAGACUAAUACUCUUGAGCCUUGACGUUACCUACAGAAGAAGCACCGGCAAACUCCGUGCCAGCAGCCGCGGUAAUACGGAGGGUGCGAGCGUUAAUCGGAAUUACUGGGCGUAAAGCGCGCGUAGGUGGUUUGUUAAGUUGGAUGUGAAAGCCCUGGGCUCAACCUAGGAACUGCAUCCAAAACUAACUCACUAGAGUACGAUAGAGGGAGGUAGAAUUCAUAGUGUAGCGGUGGAAUGCGUAGAUAUUAUGAAGAAUACCAGUGGCGAAGGCGGCCUCCUGGAUCUGUACUGACACUGAGGUGCGAAAGCGUGGGUAGCGAACAGGAUUAGAU
Molecule: ribosomal RNA, 699 nt
Filed under: uncultured bacterium
Lineage: Bacteria
Description: bacterial SSU rRNA
Rfam family: Bacterial small subunit ribosomal RNA
Source: RNAcentral